This 484-nucleotide ribosomal RNA is filed under the name uncultured bacterium. Its description in RNAcentral is "partial 16S ribosomal RNA". It matches the Rfam family "Bacterial small subunit ribosomal RNA", at positions 30 to 507 of the family's 1533-position model. The record is from RNAcentral.
AUUGAACGCUGGCGGCAGGCCUAACACAUGCAAGUCGAGCGGCUGCAGGGAGCUUGCUCCUGGAUUCAGCGGCGGACGGGUGAGUAAUGCCUAGGAAUCUGCCUGGUAGUGGGGGAUAACGUCCGGAAACGGGCGCUAAUACCGCAUACGUCCUGAGGGCGAACGUGGGGGAUCUUCGGACCUCACGCUAUCAGAUGAGCCUAGGUCGGAUUAGCUAGUUGGUGGGGUAAAGGCCUACCAAGGCGACGAUCCGUAACUGGUCUGAGAGGAUGAUCAGUCACACUGGAACUGAGACACGGUCCAGACUCCUACGGGAGGCAGCAGUGGGGAAUAUUGGACAAUGGGCGAAAGCCUGAUCCAGCCAUGCCGCGUGUGUGAAGAAGGUCUUCGGAUUGUAAAGCACUUUAAGUUGGGAGGAAGGGCAGUAAGUUAAUACCUUGCUGUUUUGACGGUACCAACAGAAUAAGCACCGGCUAACUUCGUG